UGAAAGCAUCCUCUGCUCUGUUCAUCACUCUGCUGAUCACACUGACAUCAUGCUGCUCUCCGUCUGCACUCUGCUCUCUGCUCUGGCGUGUAAGAUUCCUGCUGCUGCUUUCCUCUUCAACUGAUACCUUUUUAUUAUUUAUAAUUCUCUUUUAAAUGAUAAUGACACUCAGUGUUGCUUUAUGUUGCAGUGGUCAGUUCACACAAAGCUGUGACACAAAAGCCUUCGGUUAUAACAGCAGAUGUGGGUAAAACUGUCACUAUGGACUGUAACAUCGCAAAGGAUGACGGUUACUAUGUCUUUUGGUAUAAACAGAUUCCACAAGAAGCCCCAGAGUUUGUGUUGAGAUUUUAUCAUUCUCACGACUCUCCUAAUAAAUAUGGAGACAAUUUUUCAUCCACAAGUUUGAUAUCUAAAGCCUCUACAAAUAUUGAUUAUCAGUUAAUAAUCAGUAAUGUGAAGGUAGGAGACUCAGCAGUGUAUUACUGUUACACAUGGGACGUCUUUGCUAAAGAAUUCGUAUCACAGUGAUGUACACCAUGACAAAAACCUCCUCACUGCUCACACUCACUUCUGCUUUCACACAACACCAGAAAGAACAAAAACCUCAACUUCAAAUCAUUGGAACUGAAGUGGAAACUCACUUAAUGUUCACUGAAGACACUUUGAAUUCUUCACAUUUAAAGAUCACAGAUACGACCAAGAGACAUUUGUAACAGCAGGAUUCAAGGCCACACUGCUUCACUGGGAUCUCCACUGAAACGCUUAAACACUCAGUCAUAAUGUUUUCUCUACAAUCUUUGGACAAAUGGAUGCAGUGGAUUUCUAAGAUGUGGCAGUAAUUUGGACCAGAACUGUUCUGAACCGUGGCAUCAGGAAUGUGGGUCAGAGAGAAUCUCAGGAUUAUUUGGUCAUUUUAAUAAAAAAAUACAAAA
Molecule: long non-coding RNA, 935 nt
Organism: Tachysurus fulvidraco (yellow catfish)
Lineage: Eukaryota; Metazoa; Chordata; Actinopteri; Siluriformes; Bagridae
Exons: 2
Source: RefSeq, a predicted model, not a curated record